UCCUGUACAGUAAGACUUUGGGAAUGAAAUGCUACAAUCUCCUCUUGUCUAUGGUGUUUUUCUGCAAUAGUUGCCUACGCAAUCAUUAUAGUAGAAUAAAGGAAAUAAUCUAGGGAUAGUGAUUCAAUAAAUAACAGGUGCCCUGUCUAGAGCGUACGCGUCCUUGAGCCACGCACCUGCAUGAUGACCGCAUACCGAGAGACUAUUGUUUCAGGUUGACCUUGUCUAGAGGAGCAUUAGUGGGAAAAAACUGUGUAGCCCUGAGACAAUAGGAUGAUGUCUGGACCAAUGAGACUGGCCUGCAGGGGACGCAAGGAUUCACUUCUCUCUUGGACACUGGCGGAUGUAGACACGGUAAUUAUGAUCCUGGCAAUUGCGUUGAUCGUCAGUAGAAGAGCGUAGCUUAGGUGGGGUUCUGUCUGCCUCUGAUGGGGUGCGGAUGUGUGGUUCGUCACUGGUGAAUGGUGUUCGACGAUGCAGGUGGAUUUUGUGACGAGCGGAUUUACAAUGAGGGAAUGUAGUGUACGUGUCCGAUGAUAGUGCGCGUCUUUUCACUCUGUUCAAGUGUUCGUCUGCCUCUGUUGCCCAACAGUCGUGCGAAUUUGUCCUGACGUGUCCUGACAUGCCCCGAUAUGCAUGGUUUCCUUUGUUAACGCUUUGUAUUUUGUCUUUUUUGACAAGGAACAUUGUCGUCUUGACGAUAGUGCUGCCCUGAGUUCUGCGCGCGUUGAUUUGUUGAGUGCCUAGUCCUCUUAUUAGCCGUUGAUGGGGUUACAUGUUGGGAUAUUUUGUUCUUUUGCAAGUCUCAUUUAGUAAGACUUUGGAAUUCCUACGAUCAAGUUUCAUGCAUGGUGCUCUUCUGCAAUAGUUUCCUAUGCGAUCGUUAUAGAAGAAUAAAGGAAAUAACCUUGGGAUAGUGAUUCAAUAAAUAAUAGGUCCCCUGUCUAGAGCGCACGCGUCCUUGAGCCACGCAGGUGCAUGAGGACGUCAUACCGUGGCUUCACUGCAGAUUGACCUUGUCUAGAGGAGCAUUAGUGGAAAAAAACAGUGUAGCCCUGAGACAAUAGGAUGAUGUCUGGACCAAUGAGAACGGCCAGCAGGGGGCGCAGGAAUGCUCUUCUCUCUUAGCCUCUCGCAGGUGGCGGUAGGAGCGCGCGCAUGCGUAGCACCCGUAGAGUGGCGUUUACGUCAGUCCACCUCUGGCUCUCGUUGGGAGAAGACCGUUCGCUCCGUCGUCACUUGAUCCCUGGCUGUCGACGAGAGCGGACGCUCCGUCGCAGCGGGGAAAAAGAGCUACGAUGCUGGCGCCAUCUGGUGUGAUGCCUUGGAACUAGCGUGCCACCUGCCUCUGCAACCGUCGUGCUCCAGUCGCCCCGGCGUGAUUUCUUCAAGAUGGCGUCGUUGAUUUUCAAAUAAAUCAUUUCCUACUGUCUG
Long non-coding RNA from Ornithodoros turicata, 1434 nucleotides. RefSeq lists it as uncharacterized. NCBI's taxonomy places the organism in Eukaryota, Metazoa, Arthropoda, Arachnida, Ixodida, Argasidae. The record is from RefSeq and is a predicted model, not a curated record. The transcript has 2 exons.